This 111-nucleotide small nucleolar RNA is filed under the name Microtus ochrogaster (prairie vole). RNAcentral's name for it is "Small nucleolar RNA SNORD67 (ENSMOCG00000011448.1)". It matches the Rfam family "Small nucleolar RNA SNORD67". Rfam says of the family: snoRNA HBII-166 belongs to the C/D family of snoRNAs. Lineage: Eukaryota; Metazoa; Chordata; Mammalia; Rodentia; Cricetidae. The record is from Rfam by way of RNAcentral.
UGUGAGAGUGAUGAGGUGCACACUGGUGGAGCUAUAGUAUCAUGUGAUACAGGCACCACUCAGUACCACCCUGGUGACAAAAUCAAGUGCACAGGGGCCAUCUGACUCACA